UGGAACCAGUACAUGAGCAAACCAUUGCGUGAGUCGUACUACUACAACUGGCCUGUUUACUUCCCGUAGCUACAUCUCUUCUACCAUUUUUUUUUCAGUUGCAUUCCUUGUCUUGAACAAGUGACUAGCUAGGGUUGGGCUCAUGGAGACAUAUAUUAACAGUGUUAAACUUUCCAGGUGUAUUGUGAAUUAUUGUUAUUAAUGUAUUUAGCUGUUCAUGCUGUUACUUUUUAAUAAUCUGUUGUCCUUUCAAAAAAAUUUCCUGUGUUCAUGUGACAUUGGAUGUUUUUUUUCUUUUCUUGUGGUUUGUUCCACCCCACUAUUGGAUCCUUUUAACAUUUCUAAGCCAUGGUCGUCAUCUCUUGCCACCAUUAAGGCUGCACUGUAGCACUUACCAUGGAAAUUUUACUGGUGCAUUUUUUUCUGAUCUUUCUUUUUUACCCCCCUCUGUAAACAUUACUGCUUCAUAUUAAACACGUUUCUUUGUAUAGUUAAUAGCUCAUCCACAUGUCAUGGAUUUAUGCUUCAUCUGUUUUGCAAUGCACAGACAUACUAUUUGUUUACAUAUUAUAGCUUAUUUACUUGCAUACUCUGGAAUUAUCUUUUUGCAGCUGGCACGACAAGGCUAUGAUGUUUGAACACUACCACUGGAAGAAAGCAAUGGAGAAGAACCAGCCGUACCAGUUCAAGGUGAGAUCUUUAAACGCUUGCUACCGGUAUUACCUAUCAUAUUCAGCGAGUUUCUUCCUCUUCUUUUGUGCCUUUUUUCCAUGCCAAAUAUUUUUGGAGAUGAUGAGCAAUAUUUGGGGAAUCAUGCUGGAAUUAGAGUUGGGAAUACGACCAGAGGUCUGCUAUACCUAUUGAAUGGGCUGGAAGUGGUUCAACACUCUGGUUUAUGCUUCUGCAUGAUUUGACAGUACAUAAAGAAAUCAUAUCCAAGUGAUUAUGAUAUUUUUGCUAAACAAUUUAUAUACUGUAAUUUGCUUAUGACUCUCUUCAUCUGCAAUUCCAGUUUGCGAUGCUAUAUCUACUGUAGAAUUAGACAAUUGUCCGUGGCGUCAAGUCUCAUUGAUCUAUGCUUGUCAUGCCAGGGUCAUGUUAGCUAAUUGGUUUUGCCUUGGUGCAUUUUAUUUGACGUACUAUUGCCUGUUAUUAACAUGCUUUUCCCCUUCCUUUUAUUAACAUGCUUUUCCCCUUCCUUUUUCUCCAGUGGAACCAGUACAUGAGCAAACCAUUGCGUGAGUCGUACUACUACAACUGGCCUGUUUACUUCCCGUAGCUACAUCUCUUCUACCAUUCUUUUUUCUGUUGCAUUCCUUGUCUUGAACAAUUGACUAGCUAGGGUUGGGCUCAUGGAGACAUAUAUUAACAGUGUUAAACUUUCUAGGCGUAUUGUGAAUUAUUGUUAUCAAUGUAUUUAGCUGUUCAUGCUGUUACUUUUUAAUAAUCUGUUGUCCUUUCAUCUACUGGUACGUGGAAAUUGCAUUACUUGAAUGGCUUAAUGAUUUGAAAUAAGAGCAUGUGCACAGGUACAGAUCUCAAUUGAUAAUAGCGGCUUCUAAUUUAGAUAUAAUGCGUGCACAGCAGCAACCCAAGAAGGUGAAAGCACCUAUCUUUAGACCUUUAUGCUAGACUUUUCUGUGGGCAUCCUGUUCAUCAUGGCACAGCAAUUUGGGGUGCUUUUUUGAUCUUGAAGGUGAAACUGUAAAUUUGGAGAAGUUUUUUCUUAGGAAAACAUUUUAGAGUUGUCAUUCUGAAGUUUAUAUUAUCAAUAUUGAGUGGUUUGCUCUUCAAUUUUGACUCUCUGUAUUCUAUGAGGAGGCCAUCUGUUGUUGGUCAUGGUUUUCAGUUGAGUAUCUGAUGCACAUAGUAGACCUAGCGUAGAUGUAUUUAACUAUAUGCAUAGGGCUGAAAUCAGAUCGAAUACUAGUAUAUCUAUAUCUAUAUUUAUUUUGUUUGACGAAUACAUAUGCAGAUAUAGAUGUUAGAUUUUUAUAUCCAUAUUUGUUUUAAAUAGAUACAGAUACAAAUCGGAUACCGAAAGUAUGGAUACAAAUAUGAAUAUAAAUCGGAUCACUAAAUUUUAUGACCACAAAAUCAAAGAUAUUACUAAGGAAAUGAUAAAUUAAAUUAAUAUCAUAUUAAAUUGGUCAUUUAUUUUCUUAAAAGUUUAUGAGUAUUAAAUAAAAUUAAAUAGGGUUACAGAUGAAAACGAAUAUUUGGAUACGUAUCGGAUAGUUGUCUAUCCAUAUUUAUAUCCAAUUUUUUUAUGCAUAUGGAUACAUAUAUGGAUAUUAAUCGAAUGCUCAAAUUUCUAUCCAUAUCCAAAUAGUUUUGGAUACAAAAAUAGAUUUGGAUAGAUAUUAUCCAAUCCACUUUCAUCCUAUGUAUUUGUGUUAAAGACUGACUAGAGGAAUAAAAGAUUCCAUUCCAUGCUCGGACCUAAGUCAGUUUUGGAAAGCCAAGUUGGAGAUAUGAUCAAAUAAGGCUGAUAUCAUCAAAUUUAGGUAGAUUUGGAGAGGCUCCGCAUCAAGAUCAAUCUAAGAUCUUAGUCAAUAACGAGAAGGUGAUUUCCAACCACUUUUUCAUUUUUGUACUAAAUCAAAUCUUAGUAGAUUAUAUGAAUUUCUUCUACAAUAAUUUUCCUUAUGCAUAAAAUUCUCUUACCCUUUUAGCAAGAAGUAAAUGUGGACACAUUCAUGGAUAGGUUCAAGGGUUCUGCAAUUGUUUAUAGGGAUGCCUAACUUUUGAAAAAAGUAAUCCUGAAUUGAAUAAAAUUUCUAGUUCUUUUCUCGGUUGUUUUUGAAUUUCGAGAAUUUUUUUAUGAUUGUUUCUUCUCCCUUCUAUCUUAUUUCUCCAUCAUUGGGUAGAUCUUUCUCAAGGAUAAAGAUUACCAUGUGCACUAUUUUGGUAGUAGAGCGGAUCUAGUUCGUAUGUGAUAUUCUAUAUGGUUAUUGAAGUGACGCCCCAAUAAUGGAGAAUGAUACAAGAGAUGUGGAGAUCCGAUAGUUGCAAGGACAAAUAAUGCAACUAAGGAUAAAUUAUAAUCGUAUAGUUGGUCAUAAUCGCCGCUUUAGAGGAUUUUCUUAACAGGAUCACCACCAUCAAAAUAUUCUUUUAAGCUAUGGAUGUCCACAACAAUAAGGAGGUGAAGAUUGUGGGUAUAAAUCUGGUGCAAGAAUAUCCAACACUUUUAUGUAAGCAUUGUAAAAAUGAAGAUUACUAAUUGGCCAAAGAUAAAUAUGCAUCUAUGCAGGUGCUUCCUUCUAAUAUAUCAUUCUCACUCUCUUUAUCAGUCUUAUAUGAACCUUAGAGGGUGAAAUAAGCAUCACUAACUACCAGAGGAGUUUUUUAAGAUCUCCAUUUAGGCAUGUUGUCUUAUGGACGAGAACUUGUGUAACUCAUGUGACGCCCCCAACUCAAGAUCGUAAACCAGGAGUCCCAAUAAUAGCCACAUACUUAUAGAAAACUCUUCUCACAAGCAUGCAAAAUAUCUCAUCAUAAUAUCAUAAACAAGCAACGGAAUAAAUUUAAAUAAUCAAUGAUCAAACUUUAUUUAAAUAACUAGAAUCUAAAUUUAAUAUCUUAUAGAACCAACAAUAUUUAAAAGAUCUUACAUCAAACUCUAGUCAAUUCUUCAUCUAAAUUAAACAUAUCAAAUUCGACCCCUAGUCACUUCUAAUCAUGACCCUAUGCUAUCUUAGUUUUCAAAUCUGUAAAAAUAAUAAGACGUAGAAUAAUGAGCUAGGCAACCUAGUAAACAAUGAACACUUUAACCACAUUAAUCAAACAAUAAAUUAAUUUUUUAUUUUAAAAAAUAAGCAUAUUAAAUUCAUUAAUUUAAAAAUAAAUUCUAGUAUGCAAUAUUAUCAAAACAUUACGCAUGUCAAAUUUAAUCUUUUUCAAAAUCAAAUUUCAUUUAUAAAUCUAAAUUCUUUCAAAUUAUCAAGUUCAUUUCGUCAACCAUGAGCUAUGACCAUAUUUUUUCUAUUAAAAUAUAAGCUUAGUGAUAAUCAAAGUGCCAACAUAUAACCUUCACUGGCAAGAUAUCGAUAGGCCAACAUAUAACUCUUACUGAUAGAGUAUCAAUAUGCCAAUAUAUAAUAUCCAUUGGUAGGGCGCCAACGUAUUACCCCCACUAGCAGGGUAUCCGUGUACCAAUACAUAACCCCCAUUGACGGGGUAUCGAUGUAAUAGUGCAUAACCCCCACUAGUAGGGUAUCGAUAUAUAGUGAGGUUAUGAAAUUAUCUUGAAUUAAACUCUCUUUUCAUAAAUCAUUUUAAUGCUUCAAAUUGAAAAAUACAUAAAAUCAUCUGAUAACAAAUUUAAUUGAACAUAAUCCAUAAUAAAAUCAAUACUUUCAAUCAUGCAUCAAUUAAUAUUCCAUAAUAUGAGAUAUUCAAUAAAUAAAUAUUAUGCUUUGAGUUCAUAAAUCACAGAUAAUACGACUUAAAACUUAAUAAUAUAAAUAUUAUAUAAUUUGUCGAUAAAUUUAGAAAAAGAGUUACAUUACUUGCCUUGCGAGCGAAACCAAACUACAGAUCCAAAUAAUUUCGAGAAUCCCUCUCAAAAUAUAAGACUCUGACGAGCACUCAACUGAAAUCUUCGAUGUUGCAGCGUAAGCCAAGAAAAGAAGAAGGAACCAGCGGUGGUGAUCGGCAAAGUCUAUCAUUGGUAAGAUGAAAGGGGGUGUAAGGGUCUUUAAAUAACCGUUCCUAGAUUUUCUAGCUUCCGUAGGACAUCGAGAUAGAGAAGGAGUCCGUCUUCUAUUCUAAGUUGAAUAGGACUCUAUCUCUUUGUUUUCCAUCUCCUACUCCAACUCUUACAUCUAGGCCAGUCAAGUAGACUAAAUCCAGUUCCUUAUUAGCUGAGCUGGAUGUUAUAGCGCAUUACCUAUAUAGCUUAUAGGUUUUGAUCUAUGAUAAGAUCACUGAUUGCAACAUAUGUCAUAUGAAUAAUGUGUAUCAUACAGGCGUUGCAUAUAGAGAAGAAGUUGCGAUGAGUCUAGAGGGCAAGAAGGAGAUCCACCAAUGUAUGUGCUACGCCUUCUUCCUUCAAGGGCACUAUAACUGCCCAUGCAGUCUAAAACUAUAACCGCCCACUACGAAGUUAAUAGAUUCGAUCAAUUGUAGUAGAACAGACUUGCCCCUAUUCCAUUCAAUUACCAUUUUGGUCUUAUUCCUUCUAUAAACAUUAAAAAGAAAAUAGGUAAUUUGGUCUUCAUGAUAAAAUCCAAACUAUCGUAAAAUUCAAUGCAUAUUAAAUGUUUUCUAUUUUCUACACUUAUCUAUCCAACCAAACUUCUAAAAUAUUCUAUUCUGUGGAAUAUGGAUUUAUUCCUUCAAUGGUACAAGAGGUAUCCCUUCCAAAAUCUAUUCUACAACCACAUAUCUCUGGGAGACUUUUCCAGCAAGCUAGUUAGAUGGUAUCUUUCUCUGAGUUUACUUUAUUCAGCAGCAUUAGUGGCGCAAACAAUGAACUUAAUAAAAGGGAAUACACAAAUCAGUACUCUAGAUUCCGGCCACUUGAAGUAAUUGCUGACUAGUUUUCGUGGUUGACCAGUGUUGAUUUACGUCCAAUAAAAUCAGUGCCCAAAGGUAAAGACCAUAGAUGGUGCCUAGGAAGACAUUUAUUUCCCAUAGCUACAAAGUAUUGUUGUCAAUUAAGUAAGGAGAAUGGAUGAAGAUGUAUAGGGGUGUAGAGAGGGGUCAGAGUGGCCAUGUAGAGCUGGGACCAUCUCCUAGAUAGCAUGGUCCAUUGGCAAAAGAGGACACCCCCCCCACCCCACCCAAAAAAAAAAAAGACACCACAACACAAGUUCGAAUUCUUCGUCUUUUUCGCUAUAGAGACCGUUGAAGUUAUCUGAUCAUGAAGAUAGAUGGCUGUCAAAUACGACACAUCAUCUCUUGGAUACCAAAUAACCAUGUAUCUGUACGAUUAAAUGAUGCAGCGGCAAUCGACGACUUUAUAGCCCUAUGCUAUGCAAAAGAUCGAUGCACCGGGACCAUUAUCGACCGUACCCUCUAAAGGCAAAAUGCCACUUUCCAUGCCUAAGGCUUAUCGCCCCACCACCAAUUGGACUUUGUUCCUUCUAUUUCCUUUGGGUCCUAUAUGCAGUUGUGAUAAUUACCGCGAUCCCCUUUAUCUUGUCAAAAGAAACAAGAAGCUGCAUGCCCAUUACCUAAAACUUGAGCCACAUCAAACUACCUUCUGGAGCUCCAAAACCAUGGGUCAGAUCAAUCACCUAUCGCCUUCUUUCUUCUCUUUUCCUUUGUUUUUUUAAAGAAAACCUAGCACCUACUUGUGAUGCUUUUCCUUAAACAACACACACACACACACAAAAGGAAAAAAAAUCAUAAUAAAGAGGAUAAUUUAAAUUAAGAUGAAACCGGUAUAGCCGUUACUUUAGUAAAUUAAGUAUCGGGGGGAGAAAAGAUUAAGGUCAAAACACUAGUGUUUUCUUUCUUUUCUUUGCUUUACCAAGAUUUUUUUUAAAAAAAUCAAACUUUUUUCCUGAAAAUGCUGCUAGAGUUAUGAGAGUUAUGAAUGUCAAAAUCAUACGAAAGAAAAAGAUUUUUUCCUUCAUUUCUAUAGUCAUGGUGGUGGUGGGGAGAGCAAGUAAUCAGUAGUUCAAUAGAUAGUGGUCAUAGGCAUGGCAAGCAAACCAAGAACCAGAGAGAAAUAUGUUCAUAAUCCUAAGCACCUUGUGGAAACUUAUUUCUUUCACUUUGUAAUCUUAAAAUCCCAACUUCCAAGUCGGUGCUAAAUCCCACAGGAAAACAUAUCUGAAUAGUCGUGGUCGAGGGCCACGAAAAAAAUCAAGCAAAUAUGUCAUUACCAUACUUUUGAUCUCUUAUAUUAUAACACAAACUCCAGACUAGAGUUUUAUUCCACCUUUUAUGAAAGCACCAUCCUGGCAAGAAAAACUAUCUUUAACAUAUAACAAUAGGCUCCACUUUAUAGUAAAUUUAGUGCCAAUUAACAAGAAAACCAAAUAAUGCACACUCCCAUAUAUCAAAAAAUAACAUAAAAUUUCAUGCGACUUCCAACACUCAAGAAACCAUAUAGCACAUUAAAUUUCUCACUCCCAUAUAUCAAAAAAUAACAUAAAAUUUCAUGCGACUUCCAACACUCAAGAAACCAUAUAACUGACUUCAAAUCACAUUAAACUCACAACUGCCUCUGCAAACUUUACGAAGGUGGUUAAUGUAUGCGGUCGCCAGAAUUGCCAUACAGUUUGGUCUCAAUCUUGAUGGUCUUGAGGAUGGUGAUGUUUAAAGGUUAAGUUUGGUUGGAGAAGUUCCAAGCUUGGAUUGCCUGACUGCAAUGAAGUUCUGAGAGAAUUUGAUGGGAGAAGCUGUGAAGCUGAGUUUUCCAUAUGAAGGUGCUUGUAUUGCUUUGCAUUGAAGUCAGUUGAAGCAUUCAUAUAUGAUGCAAACAUCGAUACAGGCUGACAACUAUGGAACCCUUCUGCUCGAGACGGAUGGCCUAAAUGGGAUAUAUGUGCAUUAGAUGGAUCCCAGUGAUGGUAGGAGGGGUAUGACAUGGCAUUAUUCUGCAAUCCACUUCCUACAUCGUUUCCUUUGAUCAUGCUGCCUUUCUCAAUGCUGGGUUCCUUCACGGCUUCUUUUUCUUUAUUCUUCAAGAGUACAUCUGAAUUCCAAAAUGUGGAUUUUUGCACCAUCAUUGCAUUCUCGACAGUAUUGCUGUCUAGCAUAUCUCCAUUUGCCACACUAGAAGAAGUGGCUAAUUGGAAAGCUCUACCAUCAAGAAUAAAAUCAGUACCGUCUCCAGUGGGAUGGAAAGAGGGAGCUUGAGGUGGAGCCAGUUUGUGAGAGAUUGCCAUGGACUGAGGGAAUUGAAUGAAAUUUCCUGGUGGCAUCUGGAGUGGGGGAAGCUUAUCGAUCUCAUGUUGAGCAGCAUUAAGCAACCAAUCCACAACUUUGCUAGGCUGGUUAACCCCUAGCUUAUCCUGAAGGUCAUACACUUGAAUAGCAGUCGGCACUGAGAGCCUCACACGCCUAUCCCUCAAUCCUCUUAUAGUACUGACUUUGCUAUGCCUAUCUUUUCCUCCAAAUGUGCGUGAGGCUCGUACAAUUCUUGGAUUUUUUAGUGCUGGCCAUGGUCUUGAACUUACUGGGAACUUGUCAACAUCGGUACCUCCUUCUUCUCUAGCUAAAAGCUCUUCUUCUCUUGAAUUUCUUAUCAUCUUAAUACUUUCAUCACUUCUUAAUCAAGUGUUAAACUUGAAAUUGAGAAUUCCCUGCAUAAAUUACGCUCUUCAAUCAUUCUGGAAUCAGUCAACAACACAUAUAUUUCAUGUAGUCUUUCUGCUUCAUGGAAGAUAGGCAAAUGUUUGCUCGAAUUUUUAAAAGUUGUUCGAUCUAUGCACAAUUUCUUUAUCAUCUGCAUGAGUUAUAUGUUAGUGAAUUACUCUAUCUUAAAGAAACUACUCUUCUUUCUAUCUAUUAACAGUUGAUGAUUUCUAGUCUGUAGAUGCACAAGCUAAAAUGGUACCAAGGAAAAAAGAAAUUGUAUGUCUGCAACACAAAUUCGAGUCUCACAACCAGCACAUGCACAUACAAUACCCAAAAAAGGGGGUGAGGAGAGGGAGGGAGAGCCAGUGCGAGCGAGCAAGCGGGCGAGAGAGAGAGAGAGAGAGAGAGAGAGAGAAGCUUCAUCCGAUACUAAAUNNNNNNNNNNNNNNNNNNNNGAGAGAGAGAGAGAGAGAGAGAGAGAAGCUUCAUCCGAUCUAAAUCCAAAAAUUCUUGAUUAAAACAAUUUUAUUUUAGUAUGGAAAAUUGAGAAAAAAACUUGCAAGAAACACUAUGAUCUGUAGUGUGUAAUUAAUCUGAGGAUAUAUAAAAAAAUUUAAAAAGAAAAUGAAGAAGUAACAGCAGCAGAAUCUGCACUUCUCGACUUACAUCCAAUAAUCCUUAAUUUAUAUCAUAUAUAUGAGAUCUAUGUACUAAGGGAAAAAAGCUUGAAGUAAUCUGAUAUUCAGAAUUCCUGCAUAUUUAAAUCUAUCAUCCAUGAAAUAAGUUCUAUUUCAUGAGAUGAGGAUAACUUUAUCAGUAAAAUGCAAGCAGCCAAUGGCAUAUAUAUUUCUUGAGAUCUAUGCACUUCUCGACUUACAUCCAAUAAUCCUUAAUUUAUAUCAUAUAUAACGGAUCUAUGUACUUAGGGAAAAAAGCUUGAAGUAAUCUGAUAUUCAGAAUUUCUGCAUAUUUAAAUCUAGCAUCCAUGAAAUGAGUUCUAUUUCAUGAGAUGAGUAUAACUUUAUCAGUAAAGUGCAAGCAGCCAAUGGCAUGUAUGUUUCUUGAUCAUACCUAUUAAAAGAAAACCCUAUAUUUUCUGAGGGACAAUUGGGGGAAAGCUAACUCUCCUUUGUUUCACUAUAGCGAUGAAGAAAUUUGUGAUUAGCCUACCUGUAAGUGCAAAAAUCUUCAAAAAGAUAUAUUCCUCGGGGGUUCAGCGCAAAAGAAGCUUCAGAGCGGGGCUGUGCACCUCCAACUUUGCUCAAAUUUAAGCUGGUCCAGUUGCCUGUAGGGAUCAAAUUUGAAAUGAUAUGGUAUUGAAUUCAUAACCAGUUCGAUCGAGCAAGCUGCGCAUUUUGGGGUAGGGAAGAGGAUAGAUACGCAAAAGGCCUAUAAAAAGAAAAAGUGCCGUGCAUUUGCAAACUUGUGGCUCAUAUUCAUGCCUAUGAAAUUGACAGAAAAGUCAUGGUUUUUAUCUUUUUCUGAUCACAUACAUCUCUCAAUCACUGCCUUAUUGACAAGGGUAAGUUGGUCUUACCUUAACCUAGAUAUUUUUUUGUUCAAAUAUGUUCUGUAUUAUCGUAAACAUACUAAUAAAUGUAUCAUGUAUUUGAGAAUCUUCGUACCUCUUAGAGCAUUGAAGAUCAUGGAAGGGAUAUGCUGCGGCGGUUAGUUGAGAAUCACGAGCAUAAAAUCCUAGAAAAAUUUGCUAUAUUCAACUCUUGGGACCAUUGUAAUUAAUUUUUACCAUCAAAUCACCUUUGCCUUGUCAAGAACUUGGAGCUAAACAUGCAAAUAAAUGUUAUUGCGCUCUAUUUAGCCAUAAUGAUGUAUAAUAUCCAUAAGAUAUAAGAUAAAUGUCAAACACAGUGUAUGGCAGAUCCAUUUUAAGAAAUAUAUCAUGUCACUCACCAGUAAUAUGGAAGGUAAGCAAGCAAAGAUGUGGUCGCAUUGAGAAGGUAUAGCCUAAUUUUCUAACUGUUAGCAAUAUCAGCACUAUAUCUUAUCAAUAUUCUGAUGCAUGGUAAUUUUCAAGAGGAUAAACUGUAUACGAAGUCAAGUCAAAUGUUCAAUAUUAGAUCAAGAAUUUGAUGAGCAAUAUCAAUUAAAUGCAAGUGUACAACAAGAUGAGGAUUGAUCUAUAGAUAUCACAUGCUACAGCUUCAUUUAAGACUAAAGGACCUUCCUCAAAUGUAUACCUGAAACCCUAAGAAGCUACAAGCCUACAAUAUUAGCUCAGGGACCAACACAACCUCAUUAAGGCAUCCACCGAUGCUAGGAGGACCACACAAAUUGCAAUACUUCUUUGGCAGGCAACUUUGUAGUGAGCAAACUGAAUCUAAUGCAGAUAUCGGAAGGUCGCAAACAGAAAGAGGCAUAUUUGCAGUGGCGCCUAGAUCUUCAUGAUUAUGGCUCCCAGAUGCACCGUAAUGGGUCGCACUCAACAUCAUGCCAAUGUGUAAAGCAUCUUCAACAUUGAGAUGCUUAAAACGUCCUCCCACCUUCAGUUCUCCUUAGCAAUGAAACAGGUCGCAAAUAGGCUUUACUUACCUUGCUAUGGUACAUAGUAUCAUUACACAAGGAGAACGAAAAGCAUGCCAAAACUCUGAUUCUGCAAAAUAUUUCGCACUUGAAAGAAAUAUGAGAUAAUUACUUCUUCAAGAAAAGGGUAGAGGAUUCAUCUACUACAACAGCAAGCUGAAGUGCUUCAUCUCAAUCUGCCACGAUCCUUCUGCUCUGGAGGGUGUUUUCAUGCGCGUUAUUUCAACUCUUCUCAAGUUAAUAUUGGCAGGCCAUCUCCUUCCACUGGCUUGUUAAAGCUGUUCCCCAUUUGUGUAGUAUUUCAGAGAGAGAGAGAGAGAGAGGUUAUUCCAUGCUUUAAUCCAUAGAAUAAGGCAUUCUAUAGAUGCCAAAACUCUUCACAUCUAUCUGUAUCCCAUAAUAUGGUAACAAAAGAGUGUAGCUAUUAGUUCCUUUAGGUUUCUCAUGAAGUGACAGGCCAAUAUAAUAUGAUUUUACUAGGACUGUAUUUUACUUGAUAUGGAGAAAGGCCAAAGAGAAAAAUCUCUUCCUCGAUCCGAGUUCUCUUUUGGAUCUUGCUACACCAGAACGAGCAUGACCUCCAAACCCACAAGCCCUGCAAGAGGGGAAGCAGAUUAUAAAAUAAGAUAUUCUUGCAGGUAUCCCAUCACCCUCUUAAAACAAAACCAUACUCUAUAUACUCUUUUCUGAUAAUGGAGAGAAAACAAACACUAGCAGGGUCCCUUAAAUUGUUAAAGAAACUUAUUGACAAAGAAUUGAAGGAAAACGGGAAGGAUUCCAAGUGAAAUCUUAGUUGCAAAACUACAUGAUCUCUGGUAUAGUUGUUAGUCUUAUUUUUCUUGUUUGAAGAAGCAGAGAAAAAUGCGAUAUUCCCGCAAACCCAAACCCCAAUAGAAUGUUCAGCUUCUCAAAUCUAAAUAUUUAUGAGAUCACAGGCUCCAUACAUCAGCAUUAUACUUCUUGUACAAUAUUUUAAAGCUGCAGUAAAGAGAGAUGAGAUUUAUUUUCUUUCACUAAGAGGAUUCCAUCUCUCCCCUUCUGCAGGCUCCCUUGCGGCUACCAAACCCCAGAAACAGGCACCAUUUUUUUUAGUCCUGGUUGCCAGAGAAGAAAUGGGCAUCUUCUGAAGUCCUCAGGGAUAUGUUACUUUCAUAAUUUGACAGUUGUCAUAUGCCAAUUUUUCAAGGGUACCCUUUUCUAUAUCUGUGAAUUGGAUGCACAUAGGAGGAUUUUUAGGGUUUCACAUGGAAAGCAAAGCUCUGAUGCUUUUGCAGAGAGAGAGAGAGAGAGGUGGAAAUGCCAAAGUGAACAGGCCUUGGGAGAAAAGAGAUGGUCCCAAAAGCAGUUCAUUCGUCAGCCAUCAGCUAGCAGGCUGAGUUGGUCAAUCCUGGUGUAUUUAAUCUGAAGAAAGCUUACAGUUUGUGUCCUUAGUGAGCCUUUAAAGAGAUGCCAGCCAAAAUAACAAUGGACAAUGCUCAAAUAGCAACUCCCAUGUAACAGUAUAUACUCCUAUACACUCGAUUUCUUUGAGUUGCUUGGCAGUGGAUCCUCUAAAACCCUAGUCGUAGAGAAAUUCCUACAACUUGUGUAUUGCGAUAGACGAAUAAAAGUAUAAAUUAAAUUCUUUUUCUAUUAAAGGCACCCACCGAAAUCCAGCAUGUUAGAUGCACCUGAAUUCCACAGCCAAUAAAAAUGUGUUACGUAACCUGCAUGUAAGAAUUUCCUACAACCAAGUUUUGUAGAGGUUUGCACUCGUUUUCUUGAUUUUUGAAAGGAAGAGGUUAACAAUUAUCUCCAUUGUAAGUGGCACCGUUUGUAUCUUUGCCUUUUGGCUUAUUUAUAACUCUUCCAGUCUCCACAGUCUGCAGAACCAUAUUCAAUUUCAGGUCUUCAUUUCUCUAACUCCUCUCAACCCUCGUAUCUCAAAAAGAGAAAUAGUUAGUUAUUCUAUCUACUUGUUCUUUGUGCCUGAAUCUUGACCCAGGUUUUAAGCCUAAUUUUACCUGUGCGCUUUUAUUUUAUUUUUAUUUCAUUUCACUUCUGGGUAGUAUACCGCUGUGAUCAAAUUUGAUAAGCUCAGACUACAAAAAUCCUCCUGAAUUAGACUCUCGUUGUAGCAAGAGUUGAAAAAAAAACCAAAAGUCUUUUGAUGUUUUCAUCAUAAGAGGGUAUGGUUGGGAGCUCAUAUAUGCCUCCACAUCAGAAUUAAUUUAACCAAGGAUUCUUGAAUGGCAAUAAUGUUCGACAGUAUGGAAAGGCUUGGACUGAAGCCACGUAAUUGUUGUCCAUCAGUCUGAACCCAUGGUCUUGGCCUUGGGCGCAGUAGGUGGUUGGUCAACACUCGCUAACAUAAUUUCCACUGAGACCUUGCACCUCUUUUGGGCUCGUUUGGUUCGUGGGAAGCAUUUUUCCCUCUAGAAAUAUAAUUCUUGAGAAGCAGAUUUCUAGAAAGAUCGAGAAUGUCUGAGUAUGUACUUUUGGCAUGUUUGGUUUAACAUGGAGAAGUGACAGAUUUUUAGAGUGCUUAUGUUUGGUUGACCAGGAAAAGUUAUGUGUAAUUCCUAUUAUACACAAGGGGUAGGAAGGCCUAAGGGAAUAAGUGACAAGAACAUCGCGUAGGGGAAAGGUACAUAAAGAUGGCGUUAUUCCUUUUGCAGAUUACUUGCAGCUUUCCCUUCUAGCUAUGUGCAUGAAGUGCAUUGAAUACCUUCGUUUACCGCCCCUACAAUUUAUUUCUCCUCUCUGUGUUGCACUGUUCAUCCCAUUUGUGGGACUCUCAAUAAGUGUGUGUGUGUGUGUGAGAGAGAGAGAGAGAGAGGUGCAUGCAUGACCAGGGACCAGGGGGUGUGGCAUUGCAUGGGAUGAAGCAAGAUGUUUUUUCUUUCUGCUGGGCUGGUUCCUGAGGAGCCCAUUGCUCCUCAUGAAGGCAACCAUUUGCCUAACAAGUAAGAAGGUGGUGAUGCUUGUGGGGUGCUGAUGGGUUCUCUGAACAGAAACUCAUGUUAUUAUCUCCCUAACAAGUAAGAGGGUGGUAGUGUUCCAGAUAUCACGCACCAUUGACACAUGCAACAAUCCUUCAUGCAUCAUAGACUAUCAUCACAUGUUUCCAUGCCAAUCCUGCAAACCAUCCUAUAUCAUCCAAAUCCAUGAUCAAAAUCAGAGGGUGAAAUCAUUAGGGUGGUGAGGUCGUCGAUUCGCUUCACCUUAGGGUGAAAUUAUUAGGUGGAUAUAUUUUGAUGGAUCUGGUCCACCUAAUAUUUCAAUUAGUGUUAAGCAACGUGCAUGGUUUAUUUAAGAGGAAAGAUUGUUCCGAUGGAUGGCUGUGACUGCAUUAAUCAUAAUUAUUUGGAAUUUUUGCUUUUUUUAAAAAAAAAUCACCUGUUGGAAACAACGGAGCAUGACUCUUCUAAAAUAAAGAUGACCGCGAAGACGGAGAGCCGGCUGAUGGUGAGCCGAAGCAGGGUGACGGUGGGCCGAACCAGAGGGAUACGCGACGGAGGCGGCGGGAGGUGUGCAGACGACGGUGAGGAGGUCAGCACGCUUAGGAGCGUCGCGGACGACGAAGGUGGCGACGAGGGCGAGGAGGCGGUUGCGGAGGGUGGCGUAGGAGUAGAGGGCGGUGGGAGAGGGAGGGAUACGCCGGGGAAGUAUGCAGUCUCGCCGAGGAGGACAGGAUCCUUGGGUGAUGACUGAUGAAGAACGCGAUUCAUGGUUUGGUUUUAAUUGCAGGUUCGAUUGGUUGUUAUCAUUUUAAUUAGUUACUUAGAGUUUUGUAAUUUUAUAGUACCUGCAUACUUGAAUUCUCUUAUUUCUAGCCGUGAGCUUGUACAGGCUUGGCUAUAUGGAGGAACCAAAUCAGAUACUGUAGCUUUGGUUUUGCAAGAUUGGAUUUGCUGCAUUAUGCUUAUUUGUGCUGCACAUUUUGUGUUAAAAUAUUGCAGCAGGAGAGAAAAACAAGAGAAAAACAGAAAAAAAAUAUUUUUUUUUGUAUUCUUUUAUAUUUGGUACAUCUCAGGAGCUAUAUAUAUAUUUCUAUAUAGACUUCAUAUAAAAAAAAUGAUAUAGGCUGCUAUAAGUUUGCACUAACAAAAGAAAAUACUAUGGGUGAUAAAGAUUAUGUGCUUUCUAAAAUUAUUCGAAUAAGAUCAUAUUAACAAAAAAAAAAUAUUGGUUGAUAUAGAAUCAUGCUAAUAAAGAAAAAUAUUACGGGGUUGUUAUAUGAUCCCUAAAAUUAUGUUAACAUUUUGUUUGGAACUCUGGAUUUCUUUUGAUGCUUGUCAUCUGAGGUAGGGUGGUAUUUUUUUUCCUACUAGCAUGUGCUGACUCUGAAUUUCUAUUACCUUCCAAAGAUCUGCAUCUAUUUUCAGCAUGUUACGGGUUCUGAAUUCAGUAUGUUGGAUAAGAAUAAUUGGUCUCAUCUCUCUUUUCUCUUAUGUUGAAUAUGUUCUAUGUUUAGUGGAAUUUAUUGGUUCAUGCAUAUGGGGCUGUUGAAUAGCUUCUAGGCUUCCUGCUGGGUGAAUCAAAUAGCUGUCUCCAAAUCAUCUUUCCGCUUGAAGCUUUUGGAGCACGUCUCUCCGAGUGUUUAUAAAAUAUUCCAUCCUGCAAUAGAGGUACAGCUUAAUUUAAUAAUUGACUUAUGCCUUUUAGACUUGGUUUCUUGUUUUUUGAUUGCUAAAGCUUGGAAAAACCCUUUUUCUCUUGAUCUUCUUCCAUUAUGUUUUUGACCAAAUACUGCAUUGCUUUCAUCAGGACCUUCCUAUGUUACAGAGGUUUUCUUUUUCUCAAAUUUAGGUUGUAUUUUGUCUCGACCUGCAUAUUUUUGUAGAUCUCCAGAUUUAUCUUCGUUUUGUUCAGCAUCGUUUGAAACUAAGGUGAAUUUGGCAUGCCUGAUGUGCAUUUCACUGCUGAAUUUAUUUGUAUCUUCUUUUUCUUUGAAUGUGAAUUUAUGCAUAUGCACACAUAUACUUUUAAGCAUAGAAGUAUAUGGACAUAUAUACACAUGUGCACACACGUUAAUGCAUGCAUGCAUAAGUAUACAUAUGUGCGAAACUGCAUACAAUUAUCUCUGUGUAAAUGUCUCUCUGUUUGGGCAUACUGACAAACAAAGGUGUUGUUUGUUUAUGCGUUUGCGUCUGCAUGUGAUCAGCGUAGAUGUGCCUGUUCAUCAUAAUGUGUUGUUAGCUUCUCAUAACUAGCUAGAAUUUCUAGUACUUCUUUGGAGCCCUAUUUCCAUCUUCUCUGAAACGAUUCAUUCUCCCAUGGAACUAGCCUGAUGCUAAGCUUAUUGCAGAUAUGGUGCCGCCAACAGCAACUCCUGCUCCUUUGCCAAGUUCAUAGUGGCAAAAAUUUGUCCUUAACUUCCUUUUUCAUAGUUCUUAUAUAUUCUGCCAUGGAUCUAACAUGUUGAUUGCAUGUAGAGGUCAACGAUUUUGUUUACCAGUAUUACCAUUUUCCUCAGCAAGAACUAAAACUGGCUUGUACGUUUCAUCAUGAUUCCAGCAUUCUUUGCCGCUCGGAUUCUGAUGGCGUGAUGAUUACGGUAACAAAAAUGCAAAUAUGUUUUGAAACAAUAGAAAAUAUACUCUUCUAGGUCUUUUAUCAUUUUAAGGUUCUAAAAAUGUCUUCAGCUUUUCUGAAAUUAUUUAACUAAGUUUGAAAGUUCCCUUGCUUUUUCUUUUUGUGCUUUGGUAAUCCUAGAUAAACAUAUGUUUUAGCGUUGCUUGACCAUGAGAUAUCUACUGAGUGGCUUAGAUGAAUUUAUCUUCACAAUUUUCUUAUAUUUGUGGUGCAUAAGUUCUGUAUUAUUUCUUCGAUUUGGUCGUCUCAGUUGUCCUCUCAUGCAGCACAUUUAAUAUUGCACUUCGUAGUUACAGAAUCACUUUCUGUUCUACCACUGUUUGCUCAUCUAUAACCAUCUGCUGAAAAUUAUCUUCUACAACUCAACAGUUAUGCAUAUAGAAUGAAUUCUAAAUUAUAGGACUAGGGCUUCACGUCGGUAUAAUCUAUAACAAGAGUAAACAUAUAUAAUUUUAUUUUGACUCAAAAUCCUUUUCUUUAACUAUUGUGGUUAUUUUACACAAUUUCAGAGCCAGCUUUUUUUUUUUUAGGGAGCAUCAUCUAUCAGACCUUGCAACUACACUCUCAGAGGGGGAUGCCGACAGCGACGAGGAAGUUUCAGAUCCAUCAGAGAAUGCUGGUUUGGAGUUGGAAAUGAGGUUAUUGUGGAUCCACCAGUCCAUGGAAGUACAAGUGAUGCACAACCAGUUUCUGAGACAACUGCAUCUGUCUCUGAGGAGGAUGAACCUAAGAAGUCUCAUGCAUCAAUUGUAAGUUGUUAUCUUUGCCAUGAAGUCUAUUAUGUAAUGUGCAGAAAUAAUAGAUGAUUGGAAAUUUACAACUGGUGCUGUCUUCUGUGUGUCUUUUACACAAUGUUGAAAAUUAUAUUUAACAUAAUUAUCAUGGAAUGGCUCUUUAAUCAAUCAUAAUCUUGCAAGACUUUAAAAUAUUGAAUUAAAAUUUAAUGCUCCUAAAAGUUCAGUUUUUCUUGUAUUCUUGAUUUUUGAGAAAACAUGCCUUUUUAAGUGUCAGACUGAAAGUUUUCCUCCACUGGCUAUUAUCCAUAUUGCUGCUUUUCUUUUUACUUAAUUUUAUCAAACUGGUAGGUUAAUAUGCCUCUGACAGUAUCUAGAAAGCCUGCUCUUGCACCUAAAACUAUUCAUCUUGGCACCAAAACUAUCCCUGAGAACAUCUUGCGUGAAGGCAGGAAACAACUGAGGGCAUGGAACAAGGAUUUGACUACAGAGGAGGUGAAAAAAAGAAGCAAUGGCAAAGAGAAAGAGAGUAGAAAUGUGCGAGAGUACUCAGGAAAGCCUACAUAUCAUGGAUGAAGUGUAGCAUAUACGAAGUUGUCUUAUACUGGAAUUUUGAUGAAGUUAUGCCACAUUUAGAUGGAUAGAUUAGAUCGUAUCCAAAAGAAAAAGAAAAAAAGGAAAAUUUGUGAACUAUACCAAUUUAUCAUUAUGUGGGUUCCAUCUGACAGGCAGCAGAGCCUUUAUAGCUUUUAAGGGUGCAUACAUGCAUGCUUUAUCUUGUUUGUCGGCACAUUUCUCUGGCAUACAUAUGUGCAUUCAACAUCGCUUGAAAAUUCCCCCCCCGGGGAGUAUCCACAUUUCUUGCCACUAGUCCACAAAUUCGAAAUCUCGUAGUGUCAAGCCCUGUCUAAAGUUUGAUGCUGCAUUCGACCAUCAAAUGAUUCGAUGAGUGUUGGAGCUACCUUGAAGUUUUGUUUUAGUAGUAGAAAUGCAUGAAAUACAAAUGAUUGUAUUUUGUUUUAAAAAAAGAGUGCUCAAUAAACAGACAAAAUGAAAACAUAAACAAAAUAAAAGAAAAUAUAAAAUAUUAAGUACAAUGGAGAGAAUGUGGGUUCUAGGUUAAUUAGGAAGAUUUGUUGGGCCUUGAGCAGGUAAGACACAGAGUGAAAAAGCAAGUACAUGCCAUAUUGAGGAUUUUAAAAGAGGAAGAUGAAAGAUAAUCAAGGAAGAAGAUGUAACCAUUAGUCAUAUAUAUAUAUAUAUAUAUAUAUAUAUAUAUAAUCACAGAAAUCUUAGAUCCAUAGCUUCCUUGUAGAUAGAUUAUUCAAAUUGAUGAAUAAGGGCCAACUUAAAUAAGUCGGUGAACUAUAAAGAAAGCACCAAAAUUUAAGAUGAUGACCUGUUUUAGAUUAGAAGAAAUCAGUAAGGACUAAAAUUAUGGAUGAACAAUAUGGUUCAUAAAGAUGGUGAAGAUGUCACACAAAGUCUAUAUUACUAUAUAGACAUGCAAUAUUGCUUAAGUGGGCAUGCUACCAUUUGAAUAAAAAUCCUCUAGCAAGUUCCAAUCUUUUUUUUUCACACAAUUUGGUUGUUUGACAUUUGUUGAUAGGUUUAUUUUUUUCGAAGUAUCCUUUGAGGCCCAUAGCAUGGAUAAAAACAAAAGAUGCAUAGUAUAGAAAAGCCUCAAGUUUGUUUAGCAUGAAUAAAAAGAGCAAUCUUAAAAUAACAAAUAAUCUUAUAUGAACAAUCUUAAAUAGCCAAGAAUUGCUUGUUUCAGACAUACAAGGGGCUCAGCACAAAAAUGUUGGUUUCAAUCCUAACCAUGAUUAGUUAGAUGCUAAUUCUUAUUAUUUAGAGUGCUGAUCUUCUAGGCCCAUGUUUCUGCUACCAUCUCUUUUAAUGAUUUUAAUUGGUUCCAUACUAAGUUUCUAACACCUGAAAACAAAGUCUUCUCUCUCUCUCAUGAAAAAUAGAAAAAUAAAAACUAAGACAAAGUUUCUUCACUUCAAGUAUACUUCAAAAAUCGAAUAACACAUUUUGACUUGAAAGUCAGUUGAAUUGAGUCGACUAAAAGACCUGAUCGAGUCCUCAAUGAGUUCUGUACAUGAAGACUUGAUAAUAAAAUAACAUAAGCAUGUAAACUACCAAUUUUCAGUAGCAUGCGUAUGACACAUAUACAUGACAUUUAAGAACUAAAAUAUAUUAAGAUUUAUUAAUAUAUUUCUUAAGCAAAAAGGUAGAAAAUCUACCUCUCAUCUCAUUAAGCAAACACAAA
Molecule: long non-coding RNA, 19386 nt
Filed under: Phoenix dactylifera (date palm)
Lineage: Eukaryota; Viridiplantae; Streptophyta; Magnoliopsida; Arecales; Arecaceae
Description: long non-coding RNA (PDAC_LNC005831)
Source: RNAcentral